UUUUUCUUUACAAAGGAUAUUUUACAAGGUAAACCCAUAGAUAUCUACCAGGCACAAGAUGAGAAACAGGUGGCGCGUGACUUUACAUACAUUGACGAUGUGGUAAAAGGGUGUAUAGGGGCGUUGGACACGGCGGAGAAGAGCACAGGUAGCGGCGGAAAGAAGAAAGGUCCAGCUCAGCUAAGGGUAUACAAUCUUGGAAACACAUCCCCUGU
Molecule: unclassified non-coding RNA, 215 nt
Filed under: Hevea brasiliensis (rubber tree)
Lineage: Eukaryota; Viridiplantae; Streptophyta; Magnoliopsida; Malpighiales; Euphorbiaceae
Source: RNAcentral